RNAcentral lists this ribosomal RNA (253 nucleotides) under uncultured bacterium. RNAcentral's name for it is "partial 16S ribosomal RNA". It matches the Rfam family "Bacterial small subunit ribosomal RNA", at positions 524 to 776 of the family's 1533-position model. The record is from RNAcentral.
UACGAAGGGGGCUAGCGUUGCUCGGAAUCACUGGGCGUAAAGCGCACGUAGGCGGAUUGCUAAGUCAGGGGUGAAAUCCUGGAGCUCAACUCCAGAACUGCCUUUGAUACUGGCGACCUUGAGUCCGGGAGAGGUGAGUGGAAUUCCUAGUGUAGAGGUGAAAUUCGUAGAUAUUAGGAAGAACACCAGUGGCGAAGGCGGCUCACUGGCCCGGUACUGACGCUGAGGCGCGAAAGCGUGGGGAGCAAACAGG